UACGUAGGGACCAAGCGUUGUUCGGAUUUACUGGGCGUAAAGGGCGCGUAGGCGGUCAGCACAAGUCAGUUGUGAAAUCUCCGGGCUUAACUCGGAACGGUCAACUGAUACUGUGCGACUAGAGUGCAGAAGGGGCAACUGGAAUUCUUGGUGUAGCGGUGAAAUGCGUAGAUAUUAAGAGGAACACCUGCGGCGAAGGCGGGUUGCUGGGCCGACACUGACGCUGAGGCGCGAAAGCUAGGGGAGCGAACGAG
Molecule: ribosomal RNA, 254 nt
Filed under: uncultured bacterium
Lineage: Bacteria
Description: partial 16S ribosomal RNA
Rfam family: Bacterial small subunit ribosomal RNA
Source: RNAcentral